Molecule: ribosomal RNA, 484 nt
Filed under: uncultured bacterium
Lineage: Bacteria
Description: bacterial SSU rRNA
Rfam family: Bacterial small subunit ribosomal RNA
Source: RNAcentral
GAUUAGAGUUUGAUCAUGGCUCAGAUUGAACGCUGGCGGCAGGCCUAACACAUGCAAGUCGAGCGGAUGAAAGGGGCUUGCUCCUGGAUUCAGCGGCGGACGGGUGAGUAAUGCGCAGGAAUCUACCUAGUAGUGGGGGAUAACGUUUCGAAAGGGGCGCUAAUACCGCAUACGUUCUGAGGAAGAAAGCAGGGGAUCGUAAGACCUUGCGCUAUUAGAUGAGCUUGCGUCCGAUUAGCUAGUUGGUGGGGUAAAGGCCUACCAAGGCGACGAUCGGUAACUGGUCUGAGAGGAUGAUCAGUCACACUGGGACUGAGACACGGUCCAGACUCCUACGGGAGGCAGCAGUGGGGAAUAUUGGACAAUGGGGGCAACCCUGAUCCAGCCAUGCCGCGUGUGUGAAGAAGGCCCUCGGGUUGUAAAGCACUUUAAGCGGGGAGGAAGGCCUGAUGGUUAAUACCCAUUGGGAUGACGUACCCGCAGA